This 71-nucleotide transfer RNA is filed under the name Loxodonta africana (African savanna elephant). It matches the Rfam family "tRNA". Rfam says of the family: Transfer RNA (tRNA) molecules are approximately 80 nucleotides in length. Their secondary structure includes four short double-helical elements and three loops (D, anti-codon, and T loops). Lineage: Eukaryota; Metazoa; Chordata; Mammalia; Proboscidea; Elephantidae. The record is from Rfam by way of RNAcentral.
GCAUUGGUGCUUCAGUGGUAGAAGGCUCACCUUCCGUGUGGGUCACGUGGGUUCAAUUCUCAGUCAAUGUG